AGUUGCCAACUCCACUGAGCUCCUGUGGUUUCUCAGCCUGGCCUCACCUACUUUCCCUUCCUAACCAGGGAAAGGAAAAGAUUUAAAUGCAGACAGAGUUCUCCUGGCACUCAUCAGAGGAGUUGAAAUCGUGAGGUCACCCUGAGGGGAGCCUGGCAUGGCAAGGAGCAAGCUUCUCCUCGGCAAGCUGCUGCCUUUAAUCCUCAUCUUCCUGGGGUUGCUUGUGCAAAAUGCCUGCUCCCCAACUGAAGCCCCAGAACUGACAAAGAGAUGUGAUAAGAAGUCUACUCUAACCAUCAAGACGGAGUGCCAGUCCUGCUCGGUUAACAUUGCAGUCAAGUGUCCAGACGGCUACAUCAAGAUUACCAAUGGCACUGUCGGGGUUCGAGAUUGCAGGUAUUCGCUUAAAAUCCAGUCCUACGUCCUGGAUAUCCCUGGAUGCCGCCAUAUCUGUAGGAAGGAUUACCUGCAACCUCAAUGUUGUCCAGGACACUGGGGCCCAGACUGCAUGGAGUGUCCAGGAGGAGCAAGGGCACCGUGUGGUGGCAGGGGUGUUUGUGAUGAAGGCAUGGAAGGAACCGGAAGCUGCUCCUGCCGGGCAGGCUUUCGUGGAACAGCCUGUGAGAACUGUGCUGCUGAAGACGUUUUUGGUCCCAAUUGUUCAGCAGUGUGCAGUUGUGUCCAUGGUGUGUGCAACAGCGGGAUCAGUGGUGACGGAACUUGUGAGUGCUUGUCUGCGUACAGGGGGCCCAGGUGUGACAAGCCCAUCCCUGAGUGUGCAGCCUUGCUCUGCCCAGAAAACUCCAGAUGCUCACCUUCCAGCAAAGACGAAACCAAACUCCAGUGCAAAUGCCUUCCCAGUUACAAAGGGGACGGCCAGACCUGCAAGCCCAUCAACCCAUGUUUAAAAAACGUCUGCCACCCUCACGCAAGUUGUUCCUACCUGGGACCAAAUCGGCACAGUUGUGUAUGCCAAAAAGGCUACCAAGGAGAUGGUCAAGUGUGUCUGCCAGUGGACCCCUGCCAAACCAGCUAUGGAAACUGCCCUACAAAGUCUACGGUGUGCAGAUAUGAUGGGCCUGGACAGUCUCACUGCGAGUGUAAAGAACAUUACCGAAAUUUUGUACCUGGAGUGGGGUGCAGUAUGACGGACAUCUGUGAAUCAAAAAACCCAUGUCAUAAGAAUGCGAACUGCAGCACAGUCUCACCAGGCCAAACCCAAUGCACUUGCCAGAAAGGUUAUGUGGGUGAUGGCCUGAACUGCUAUGGAAACAUCAUGCAGAGACUCAGAGAAUUAAAUACUGAACCCAGAGGAAUGUGGCAAGGACAGCUGACUUCCUUCAUCUCAAUCCUGGACAGAACUUAUGCCUGGCCACUGAGCAACCUGGGACCCUUCACCGUGCUGCUGCCCUCAGACAAGGGACUAAAAGGGGUUGAUGUAAAGGAGCUCUUAAUGGACAAAGAGGCUGCUCGGUACUUUGUGAAGCUCCACAUCAUUGCUGGGCAAAUGAGCACGGAGCAGAUGUAUAACUUGGACACCUUCUAUACCUUGACGGGAAAGUCAGGGGAAAUCAUCAACAAGGAUAAGGACAAUCAACUAAAGCUCAAACUUUAUGGAAGCAAAAUAGUGCAAAUUAUCCAGGGGAACAUAGUUGCUUCAAAUGGGCUUGUGCAUAUCCUCGACAGAGCGAUGGACAAGAUAGAGCCCACACUUGAGAGCAACCCCCAGCAAACCAUUAUGACAAUGCUACAACCAAGAUAUGGCAAGUUCAGAUCUUUGCUAGAGAAAACCAAUGUUGGACAAGCCCUGGAGAAGGGUGGUAUUGAUGAGCCAUACACCAUUUUUGUUCCAAGUAAUGAAGCAUUGAGUAAUAUGACGGCUGGUGUCCUCGAUUACCUCCUGUCUCCAGAGGGCUCUCGGAAACUUCUGGAACUCGUCAGAUACCACAUUGUUGCAUUUACCCAGCUGGAAGUGGCUACUCUGGUUUCCACACUUCACAUCCGAAGCAUGGCCAACCAGAUCAUCACAUUUAACAUAAGCAGCAAAGGGCAGAUUCUGGCAAACAACGUGGCCGUGGAUGAAACCGAGGUCGCUGCCAAAAACGGCCGAAUUUACACACUGACCGGAGUUCUCAUUCCUCCCUCCAUCCUCCCGAUCCUUCCCCACCGAUGCAAUGAAACAAAGAGAGAGAUGAAACUGGGCACUUGCGUGAGGUGUUUCAUGAAAAACUGGAGCAAAUGUCCUACUAACUCGGAGCCCACGGCAAUCUUCACAAACAAGUGUUUCUAUGGCAGCAGAGCAUGGAACCUGAAAAUUGGUUGUGCCCGAUAUUGUGAUGUGACUGUGGAGAUACCAAGAUGCUGUAAAGGUUUCUUCGGACCUGACUGCAACCCAUGUCCAGGAGGCUUCAUGAAUCCGUGUUCUGGAAAUGGGCAGUGCAUAGACGGCCUCGGUGGCAAUGGGACCUGCAUCUGUGAGGAUGGCUUCCAAGGUUCCAGGUGUCAGUUCUGCUCCAAACCCAACAGAUAUGGACCUCAGUGUAACAGAACCUGCCAGUGUGUUCAUGGAAUAUGUGAUAACAGACUGGACAGCGAUGGAUCCUGCCUGCCAGGAACAUGCCGAGAGGGCACAGCUGGGAGGUUCUGUGACAAGCAGACGUCAGCCUGUGGGCCCUAUAUGCAAUUCUGUCACAUCCAUGCCACCUGUGAAUACAGCAAUGAGACAGCCAGCUGUGUCUGCAAUGACGGCUAUGAAGGAGAUGGAACUCUCUGUUCUAAGAAGGACCCUUGCCUGGGAUCGACCUCCAGAGGAGGAUGUAGUCCUAACGCAGAAUGCAUCCAAGCUAGCACGGGGACAUACAGUUGUGUGUGCCAGCGGGGCUGGACAGGGAACGGAAGAGACUGUGUGGAGAUCAACAGCUGCCUGCUGCCUAGCUCCGGAGGCUGCCAUGACAACGCCACCUGUUUAUAUGUAGGCCCUGGGCAGAAUGAAUGUGAAUGCAAGAAAGGAUUUCGAGGAAACGGAAUUGAUUGUGAACCUAUCAUUUCAUGCUUGGAACAAAUAGAGAAAUGUCACCCCCUGGCCACCUGUCAAUAUACUUUGUCUGGUGUUUGGAGCUGUGUUUGCCAAGAGGGCUAUGAAGGAAAUGGUGUCCUGUGCUAUGGAAAUGUGCUCAUGGAACUGUCGUUUCUCUCUGAAGCAGCUGUAUUUUACCAGUGGAUCAAUAAUGCUUCUCUGCAGUCCAUGCUGUCUGCCACCUCGAAUCUCACUGUCCUCGUGCCAUCCCUGCAAGCCAUCAAGGACAUGGACCAGAAUGAAAAAAGCUUCUGGUUGUCACGGAACAACAUUCCAGCCCUGAUAAAAUACCACACACUACUAGGCACAUACAGAGUGGCUGAUCUGCAGACUCUGCCAUCCUCUCACAUGCUAGCGACAUCCUUGCAGGGAAGCUUCCUUCGCCUGGACAAGGCAGAUGGGAAUAUCACAAUUGAGGGGGCAUCCUUUGUGGAUGGUGACAAUGCAGCCACAAACGGGGUGGUCCACAUCAUCAACAAGGUGCUAAUCCCCCAAAGAGGUCUAACUGGCUCCUUACCCAGUCUACUCACCCGUCUGGAACAGAUGCCUGACUAUUCCAUCUUCCGGGGCUACAUCAUUCAUUACAAUCUGGCAAGUGCAAUCGAGGCUGCAGAUGCUUAUACUGUAUUUGUGCCAAACAAUGAAGCCAUCGAAAGUUAUAUCAGGGAGAAGAAAGCCACCUCUCUAAAGGAAGACAUUCUUCAAUACCACGUGGUCCUGGGGGAAAAGCUCCUGAGGAAUGACUUGCACAACGGCAUGCACCGAGAGACGAUGCUGGGCUUCUCCUACCUCCUCGCCUUCUUUCUCCACAAUGACCAGCUGUAUGUAAAUGAAGCUCCAAUAAACUACACCAAUGUGGCCACUGACAAGGGAGUGAUCCAUGGUCUGGAGAAAGUUCUGGAAAUCAAGAAGAAUAGGUGUGACAAUAAUGACACCAUUAUUGUGAGAGGGAAGUGUGGAAAGUGUUCCCAGCAAACACUCUGCCCGCUCGAGACAAAACCACUUAGUGAGACGAGGAAAUGCAUCUAUUCCGUUUACUUCAUGGGGAAGAGAUCCAUUUUCAUCGGGUGCCAGCUACAGUGUGUGAGAACCAUCAUUACAAGUGCAUGCUGUGCUGGCUUCUUUGGCCCACAAUGCCAAGCCUGCCCUGGGAAAGGUCAGAAUGUGUGCUCUGGGAAUGGCUUCUGUCUGGACGGCGUGAAUGGCACUGGCACAUGCGAGUGCGAGCAGGGCUUCAAUGGGACGGCCUGUGAGACCUGCACAGAGGGGAAGUAUGGUAUUCACUGUGACCAAGCAUGCUCUUGUGUCCAUGGGAGAUGUAACCAAGGUCCCUCGGGAGAUGGCUCCUGUGACUGCGAUGUCGGCUGGCGAGGAGUGAAGUGUGACAGCGAGAUCACAACAGACAACUGCAAUGGGACCUGCCACACCAGUGCCAACUGCCUUCUCGAUCCAGAUGGCAAAGCCUCGUGCAAAUGUGCGGCAGGAUUCCAAGGGAACGGAACGGUCUGCACAGCCAUCAAUGCCUGUGAGAUCAGCAAUGGAGGGUGCUCUGCCAAGGCUGACUGUAAGAGAACCAUCCCAGGAAGCCGGGUGUGUGUGUGCAAGGCAGGCUAUACCGGCGACGGCAUCGUGUGCCUCGAAAUCAACCCGUGUUUGGAGAACCACGGCGGCUGUGACAGGCAUGCAGAGUGCACGCAGACAGGGCCCAACCAGGCCGUCUGUAACUGCUUGCCCAAGUACACUGGAGAUGGAAAGGUCUGCACACUCAUCAACGUCUGCUUAACUAAUAACGGCGGCUGCAGUCCAUUUGCCUUCUGCAAUCACACAGAACAAGAUCAAAGGACAUGUACCUGCAAGCCAGACUACACGGGUGAUGGAAUCGUCUGCCGUGGCAGCAUCCAUUCGGAACUUCCAAAGAAUCCCUCAACGUCCCAGUAUUUCUUCCAGUUGCAGGAGCAUGCUGUCCAAGAGCUUGCUGGACCUGGCCCCUUCACCGUGUUUGUGCCUUCAUCUGACUCCUUCAACAGUGAGUCCAAGUGACUUCAUAAUUGUAUUCUUUGUAUCUUGCAUCCAAGUAGAAAUGUAUCAAGAGUAUCUUCUAGUGCUCUCUAGGAGGAACCCUCCCAUGGUCUCUCUCAGCAUGUCUCCCAAGAAAAUUCUGUAGGACACUGGUAUCCUUCAAGCAGCACUGUGACAAGCUGGGCUAGCGGCCCCUGAGGCUCCGCCCACCUACAUUUUCAUUGCCUUUCCUGACCAGCCUCUCCCUGUGGCCCCAACACAAACCAAGCCUGGCACUAGCUCCUCAGAGUUGUGGGAAAGAGGAGAGCAAACAAGAUGUUCUAGCAACAGGCUCCUGCCUCUGGCCAACCUCCCUGGCCUCUCUUCCAGCUUAAAGUCUGGGAUAAACAGGGCCUCAUGUCCCAGAUUCUACGGUAUCACGUGGUGGCCUGCCAGCAGCUACUGCUGGAGAACCUAAAGGUGAUCACGAGUGCCACAACCCUCCAAGGAGAGCCAAUUUCCAUCUCUGUCUCUCAGGACACUGUGCUCAUAAACAAGAAGGCGAAGGUUCUGUCCAGUGACAUUAUCAGCACCAACGGAGUCAUCCACGUCAUAGACACAUUGUUGUCUCCCCAAAACUUGCUUAUCACCCCCAAAGGUGCCUCCGGCAGGGUUCUGCUAAACCUUACUACAGUGGCAGCAAACCAUGGAUAUACCAAAUUCAGCAAGUUGAUACAGGACUCAGGCUUGCUGAAAGUCAUCACUGACCCCAUGCAUACCCCAGUCACUCUCUUCUGGCCUACGGACAAAGCCCUCCAAGCCUUGCCUCAGGAGCAGCAGGACUUCCUGUUCAAUGAAGACAACAAAGACAAGCUGAAGGCAUACCUGAAGUUCCACGUGAUCCGAGAUACCAUGGCUUUAGCUUCAGACCUCCCCAGGUCUGCUUCCUGGAAGACCCUGCAGGGUUCCGAGCUGAGUGUGAGGUGUGGAACUGGCAGUGAUGUCGGAGAGCUCUUUCUAAAUGGACAAAUGUGCAGGAUUAUACAGCGGAGACUCUUGUUUGACGGAGGUGUGGCCUAUGGCAUUGACUGCCUGCUAAUGGAUCCUACCGAAGGUGGCCGAUGUGACACUUUUACUACCUUCAAUAUUCCGGGGGAAUGUGGGAGCUGUUUCUCCACUCCCAGAUGCCCACUACAGAGCAAACCAAAGGGUGUGAGGAAGAAGUGUAUCUACAACCCGUUACCUUUCAGGAGGGAUGUGGAAGGCUGUCAGAACCUGUGCACCCUGGUGGUCCAUGUCCCGCGGUGCUGCAGUGGUUACUUCAUGCCAGACUGUCAGGCCUGCCCUGGAGGACCAGACACACCGUGUAACAACCGGGGCAUGUGUUAUGAUCAGUACAAACCCACAGGACAGUGCCAAUGUCAUACUGGUUUCAACGGGACAGCCUGUGAGCUCUGCUUGCCUGGGAGAUUUGGUCCUGACUGUCAACCCUGUGGCUGCUCUGAGCAUGGGCAGUGUGACGAGGGGAUCACAGGCUCCGGGCAGUGCCUCUGUGAAGCAGGGUGGACAGGCCGCUUCUGUGAUGCUCCCACAGUUGUGAUUCCAGUGUGCAUACCUGCUUGUUCCAUGCACGCAACCUGUAUGGAGAACAACACAUGUGUGUGUAACUUGAAUUACGAAGGUGACGGAAUCACAUGCACAGUCGUGGAUUUCUGCAAACAGAACAAUGGGGGCUGUGCGAAGGUCGCCAAGUGCUCCCAGAAGGGCACACAAGUCUCCUGCAGCUGCCAGAAGGGCUACAAGGGGGAUGGCCACAGCUGCACAGAGAUAGACCCCUGUGCAAACGGUGUCAAUGGUGGAUGUCAUGAGCAUGCUACCUGCAGGAUGACGGGCCCAGGCAAGCAGAAGUGUGAAUGUAAAAGUCACUAUGUCGGGGAUGGACGGGACUGUGAGCCCGAACAGCUGCCCCUUGACCGCUGCUUACAGGACAACGGACAAUGCCACCCAGAUGCCAACUGUGUGGACCUUCAUUUCCAGGACACUACUGUUGGCGUAUUCCACCUACGCUCCCCACUGGGCCAGUACAAACUGACAUUUGACAAAGCCAAAGAGGCCUGUGCCAAGGAAGCUGCAUCCAUAGCCACCUACAACCAGCUCUCCUAUGCCCAGAAGGCCAAGUAUCACCUCUGCUCAGCUGGCUGGCUGGAGAGUGGGCGGGUUGCCUACCCCACGAUCUACGCCUCUAAGAAAUGUGCAAACAUUGUGGGGAUUGUAGACUACGGAACCAGGACCAACAAGAGUGAAAUGUGGGACGUCUUCUGUUACAGAAUGAAAGAUGUUAACUGCACCUGCAAGGCAGGCUACGUGGGCGAUGGCUUCUCCUGCAAUGGGAACCUGCUGCAAGUCCUCAUGUCCUUCCCCUCACUCACGAACUUCCUGACAGAGGUGCUGGUUUUUUCCAGGAGCUCAGCCCAAGGCCGGGCGUUUUUGAAACACCUGACUGACCUGUCCAUCAGUGGCACCCUGUUUGUGCCACAGAACAGUGGGCUACCGAAAAAUAAGAGCCUGUCUGGGCGGGACAUUGAGCACCACCUCACUAAUGUCAACGUCUCCUUUUACGAUGACCUUGUCAAUGGUACCGUCCUGAAGACUAGGCUGGGAAGCCAACUGCUCAUCACCUCCAGCCAGGACCAGCUCCACCAAGAGGCCAGGUUCGUGGAUGGAAGAGCCAUUCUGCAGUGGGACAUCAUUGCCUCUAACGGGGUUCUCCAUAUCAUUUCUGAACCUUUGAAAGCUCCUCCCACGGCCGCAACGGCUGCCCACUCUGGCCUAGGAACAGGCAUAUUCUGCGCUGUCGUCCUGGUUACUGGUGCGAUUGCUCUGGCUGCCUACUCCUACUUCCGGCUAAACCAGAGAACAACUGGCUUCCGGCGUUUUGAGUCAGAAGAUGACAUUGAUGCCUUGGCCUUUGGCAAGCAGCAGCCUGAGAGUAUCACAAACCCUUUGUAUGAGACCUCAACGCCGGCAGCCCCCGAGCCCUCCUGUGACCCCUUCACCGACUCUGGAGAACGGGAGCUGGAGAACAGUGACCCUCUUGGGGCACUGAGGUCCUGAUGUGAGAAGCCAGCCAACAGCCACAGCCACGUGAGCCCUGAGCCAUCACGGUUACACGGUGACUCCCCUGCUCCAGCUGUCACUUGGAUCAUUUGUUUUAAAGUAUGAUAACUCAGAAGCCAUACCUCACCCCUCUGGUUAGUCUGGGGUUGUCGUCAUGGGUAAGGGGACAUGUUUCCAGGACACCAGUAUACCUCUGCCUCCUCUGGGCCUUCACUGUGGCUCUCUGCACCUUCCAGAUGGUGCUUGGCCUGUUCUGCCCUAUCUGUGGGUAGCUGUGACCCUGUGGUAUCUCCUAUUAACUGUAAGCACCAAAGGCAAGGCUUCAUCCCAUAUGUUCUGUAUUCCAGUACCCAGAAGUACCUGCCACACGGGUGCGCUCAAUAAAUGUGAGAACAGAAAAAGUCA
Molecule: RNA transcript, 8596 nt
Organism: Mus musculus (house mouse)
Lineage: Eukaryota; Metazoa; Chordata; Mammalia; Rodentia; Muridae
Gene: Stab2
Gene name: stabilin 2
Exons: 69
Source: RefSeq, marked validated